Small nucleolar RNA from Physeter macrocephalus (sperm whale), 101 nucleotides. Its record names the gene U8. It matches the Rfam family "U8 small nucleolar RNA". Rfam says of the family: U8 is a member of the C/D class of snoRNA which contain the C (UGAUGA) and D (CUGA) box motifs. U8 is the RNA component of a small complex (the U8 snoRNP) which is required for accumulation of mature large subunit ribosomal RNAs, 5.8S and 28S rRNAs. Lineage: Eukaryota; Metazoa; Chordata; Mammalia; Artiodactyla; Physeteridae. The record is from Ensembl.
UCAUCAGGUAGGAUAAUCCUCACCUGUUCCUCCUUUUGGAGGGCAGAUACAGAGUGAAGUAAGUCAGAAAGAGACAACAAAUAUCGUACAAUAUCGCUUAC